Molecule: ribosomal RNA, 492 nt
Filed under: uncultured bacterium
Lineage: Bacteria
Description: partial 16S ribosomal RNA
Rfam family: Bacterial small subunit ribosomal RNA
Source: RNAcentral
AGUGAACGCUGGCGGUAGGCCUAACACAUGCGAGUCGAACGGCAGCACAGUAAGAGCUUGCUCUUACGGGUGGCGAGUGGCGGACGGGUGAGGAAUACAUCGGAAUCUACUUUUUCGUGGGGGAUAACGUAGGGAAACUUACGCUAAUACCGCAUACGACCUACGGGUGAAAGCAGGGGAUCUUCGGACCUUGCGCGAUUGAAUGAGCCGAUGUCGGAUUAGCUAGUUGGCGGGGUAAAGGCCCACCAAGGCGACGAUCCGUAGCUGGUCUGAGAGGAUGAUCAGCCACACUGGAACUGAGACACGGUCCAGACUCCUACGGGAGGCAGCAGUGGGGAAUAUUGGACAAGGGGCGCAAGCCUGAUCCAGCCAUACCGCGUGGGUGAAGAAGGCCUUCGGGUUGUAAAGCCCUUUUGUUGGGAAAGAAAAGCAGCAGGUUAAUACCCCGCUGUUCUGACGGUACCCAAAGAAUAAGCACCGGCUAACUUCGUG